AACGAACGCUGGCGGCAGGCUUAACACAUGCAAGUCGAGCGCCCCGCCAGUGGAGCGGCAGACGGGUGAGUAACGCGUGGGAACGUACCCUUAUCUUCGGGCUAGCUCCGGGAAACUGGAAUUAAUACCGAAUGUGCCCUUUGGGGGAAAGAUUGAUCGGAUAAGGAUCGGCCCGCGUUAGAUUAGCUAGUGGGUGGGGUAAAGGCCUACCAAGGCGACGAUCCAUAGCUGGACUGAGAGGAUGAUCAGCCACAAUGGGACUGCGGCCCGGACCAAACUCGUACGCGAGGCAGGAGUGGAGAAUAUUGGGCGAUGGACGCAAGCGUGAUCCAGCCACGCCGCGUGAGUGAUGAAGGCCGUAGGGUUGUAAAGCUCUUUCAGCGGAGAAGAUAAUGACGGUAACCGGAGAAGAAGCCCCGGCUAACUACGUG
This 431-nucleotide ribosomal RNA is filed under the name uncultured bacterium. RNAcentral's name for it is "partial 16S ribosomal RNA". It matches the Rfam family "Bacterial small subunit ribosomal RNA", at positions 29 to 507 of the family's 1533-position model. The record is from RNAcentral.